Molecule: ribosomal RNA, 200 nt
Filed under: uncultured prokaryote
Description: partial 16S ribosomal RNA
Rfam family: Bacterial small subunit ribosomal RNA
Source: RNAcentral
GGUCAAAUCAUCAUGCCCUUUAUGUCUUGGGCAACACACGUGCUACAAUGGCUGUAACAAAGUGACGCAAACCGGCGACGGUAAGCCAACCACAAAAAAACAGUCUCAGUUCGGAUUGAAGUCUGCAACUCGACUUCAUGAAGCUGGAAUCGCUAGUAAUCGCGGAUCAGAAUGCCGCGGUGAAUACGUUCCCGGGCCUU